GGUGGAAGUGUGGUGACACAUGGAGCUGACGAAUACUAAUCGAUCGAGGACUUAACCAAA
This 60-nucleotide ribosomal RNA is filed under the name Lysinibacillus sphaericus. RNAcentral describes it as "partial 23S ribosomal RNA". RNAcentral also lists the same sequence under 1 other name. Lineage: Bacteria; Bacillati; Bacillota; Bacilli; Caryophanales; Bacillaceae. The record is from RNAcentral.